GGCGGCCUACGGGGGACAGCAGUAGGGAAUUUUCGUCAAUGGGCGCAAGCCUGAACGAGCGAUGCCGCGUGAGUGAAGAAGGCCUUCGGGUCGUAAAGCUCUGUUGCGGGGGAAAAAAGGCAGCAUCAGGAAAUGGGUGCUGACUGAUGGUGCCCCGCCAGAAAGUCACGGCUAACUACGUGCCAGCAGCCGCGGUAAUACGUAGGUGGCGAGCGUUAUCCGGAAUGAUUGGGCGUAAAGGGGACGCAGGCGGUCCUGCCAGUC
This 264-nucleotide ribosomal RNA is filed under the name uncultured bacterium. RNAcentral describes it as "partial 16S ribosomal RNA". It matches the Rfam family "Bacterial small subunit ribosomal RNA", at positions 333 to 589 of the family's 1533-position model. The record is from RNAcentral.